This 459-nucleotide ribosomal RNA is filed under the name uncultured bacterium. RNAcentral describes it as "partial 16S ribosomal RNA". It matches the Rfam family "Bacterial small subunit ribosomal RNA", at positions 339 to 795 of the family's 1533-position model. The record is from RNAcentral.
CUACGGGUGGCUGCAGUAAGGAAUAUUGCGCAAUGGAGGCAACUCUGACGCAGCCAUGCCGCGUGCAGGAAGAAGGCCUUAUGGGUCGUAAACUGCUUUUAUUUAGGAAUAAACCCCCGAACGUGUUCGGGGCUGAAGGUACUAAACGAAUAAGCACCGGCUAACUCCGUGCCAGCAGCCGCGGUAACACGGAGGGUGCAAGCGUUAUCCGGAUUUAUUGGGUUUAAAGGGUGCGCAGGCGGGCUAUUAAGUCAGUGGUGAAAUCCCGGGGCUCAACUCCGGAACUGCCAUUGAUACUGAUAGUCUUGAGUUUGGUUGAAGUGGGCGGAAUGUAGCAUGUAGCGGUGAAAUGCAUAGAUAUGCUACAGAACACCAAUCGCGAAGGCGGCUCACUAAGCCAAAACUGACGCUCAUGCACAAAAGCGUGGGGAUCAAACAGGAUUAGAUACCCGUGUAGUC